RNAcentral lists this ribosomal RNA (104 nucleotides) under Flavobacteriales bacterium. RNAcentral describes it as "partial 23S ribosomal RNA". It matches the Rfam family "Bacterial large subunit ribosomal RNA", at positions 2819 to 2925 of the family's 2925-position model. The record is from RNAcentral. Lineage: Bacteria; Pseudomonadati; Bacteroidota; Flavobacteriia; Flavobacteriales.
GAGACUUCUUUUAAGGGUCGUUAGAGAUGAUGACGUUGAUAGGUUGCAAGUGUAAAGGUCGAAAUACCAAAGCUGAGCAAUACUAAUUACCCGUAGAUUUUCUA